GACGAACGCUGGCGGCGUGCUUAACACAUGCAAGUCGAACGGAAAGGCCUCUUUCGGGGGGUACUCGAGUGGCGAACGGGUGAGUAACACGUGAGUAACCUGCCCUUGACUUUGGGAUAACUUCAGGAAACUGGGGCUAAUACCGGAUAGGAGCUCCUGCUGCAUGGUGGGGGUGGGAAAGUUUCGGCGGUUGGGGAUGGACUCGCGGCUUAUCAGCUUGUUGGUGGGGGAGUGGCUUACCAAGGCGUUGACGGGUAGCCGGCCUGAGAGGGUGACCGGCCACAUUGGGACUGAGAUACGGCCCAGACUCCUACGGGAGGCAGCAGUGGGGAAUAUUGCACAAUGGGUGGAAGCCUGAUGCAGCAACGCCGUGUGCGGGAUGACGGCCUUCGGGUUGUAAACCGCUUUCGCUCAUGACGAAGCUUUGUGUGACGGUAGUGGGUAAAGAAGCACCGGCUAACUACGUG
RNAcentral lists this ribosomal RNA (467 nucleotides) under uncultured bacterium. RNAcentral's name for it is "partial 16S ribosomal RNA". It matches the Rfam family "Bacterial small subunit ribosomal RNA", at positions 28 to 507 of the family's 1533-position model. The record is from RNAcentral.